AUUGAACGCUGGCGGCAGGCCUAACACAUGCAAGUCGAACGGUAACAGGAAGCAGCUUGCUGCUUCGCUGACGAGUGGCGGACGGGUGAGUAAUGUCUGGGAAACUGCCUGAUGGAGGGGGAUAACUACUGGAAACGGUAGCUAAUACCGCAUAACGUCGCAAGACCAAAGAGGGGGACCUUAGGGCCUCUUGCCAUCGGAUGUGCCCAGAUGGGAUUAGCUAGUAGGUGGGGUAACGGCUCACCUAGGCGACGAUCCCUAGCUGGUCUGAGAGGAUGACCAGCCACACUGGAACUGAGACACGGUCCAGACUCCUACGGGAGGCAGCAGUGGGGAAUAUUGCACAAUGGGCGCAAGCCUGAUGCAGCCGUGCCGCGUGUAUGAAGAAGGCCUUCGGGUUGUAAAGUACUUUCAGCGGGGAGGAAGGGAGUAAAGUUAAUACCUUUGCUCAUUGACGUUACCCGCGGAAGAAGCACCGGCUAACUCCGUG
Molecule: ribosomal RNA, 490 nt
Filed under: uncultured bacterium
Lineage: Bacteria
Description: partial 16S ribosomal RNA
Rfam family: Bacterial small subunit ribosomal RNA
Source: RNAcentral